UACGAAGGGGGCUAGCGUUGUUCGGAAUUACUGGGCGUAAAGCGUACGUAGGCGGACUAUUAAGUCAGGGGUGAAAUCCCAGGGCUCAACCCCGGAACUGCCUUUGAUACUGGUAGUCUCGAGUCCGGAAGAGGUGAGUGGAAUUCCGAGUGUAGAGGUGAAAUUCGUAGAUAUUCGGAGGAACACCAGUGGCGAAGGCGGCUCACUGGUCCGGUACUGACGCUGAGGUGCGAAAGCGUGGGGAGCAAACAGG
Molecule: ribosomal RNA, 253 nt
Filed under: uncultured bacterium
Lineage: Bacteria
Description: partial 16S ribosomal RNA
Rfam family: Bacterial small subunit ribosomal RNA
Source: RNAcentral